RNAcentral lists this ribosomal RNA (503 nucleotides) under uncultured bacterium. RNAcentral describes it as "bacterial SSU rRNA". It matches the Rfam family "Bacterial small subunit ribosomal RNA", at positions 903 to 1397 of the family's 1533-position model. The record is from RNAcentral.
AAAGGAAUUGACGGGGGCCCGCACAAGCGGUGGAGCAUGUGGUUUAAUUCGAUGCAACGCGAAGAACCUUACCAGGCCUUGACAUAUAGGUAGUAGAGAGCGGAAACGCAAUCGACCUUAGGGAAACCUAAGGAGCCUAUACAGGUGGUGCAUGGUUGUCGUCAGCUCGUGUCGUGAGAUGUUGGGUUAAGUCCCGCAACGAGCGCAACCCCUAUACUUAGUUGCCAGCACAUAAGGUGGGCACUCUAAGUAGACUGCCGUCGAUAAGACGGAGGAAGGUGGGGACGACGUCAAAUCAUCAUGCCCUUUAUGGUCUGGGCGACACACGUGCUACAAUGGCCUAAACAACGGGCAGCGAAGGAGCGAUCCUGAGCGAAUCCCUAAAAACAGGUCUCAGUUCGGAUUGCAGGCUGCAACUCGCCUGCAUGAAGUAGGAAUCGCUAGUAAUCGCGGAUCAGCAUGCCGCGGUGAAUACGUUCUCGGGCCUUGUACACACCGCCCGU